GACGAACGCUGGCGGCGCGCCUAACACAUGCAAGUCGAACGAGAGAUGAGGAGCUUGCUCUUCAAAUCGAGUGGCGAACGGGUGAGUAACGCGUGAGGAACCUGCCUCAAAGAGGGGGACAACAGUUGGAAACGACUGCUAAUACCGCAUAAGCCCACGGCUCGGCAUCGAGCAGAGGGAAAAGGAGUAAUCCGCUUUGAGAUGGCCUCGCGUCCGAUUAGCUAGUUGGUGAGGUAAUGGCCCACCAAGGCGACGAUCGGUAGCCGGACUGAGAGGUUAAACGGCCACAUUGGGACUGAGACACGGCCCAGACUCCUACGGGAGGCAGCAGUGGGGAAUAUUGCACAAUGGGGGAAACCCUGAUGCAGCGACGCCGCGUGGAGGAAGAAGGUCUUCGGAUUGUAAACUCCUGUUGUUGAGGAAGAUAAUGACGGUACUCAACAAGGAAGUGACGGCUAACUACGUGCCAGCAGCCGCGGUAAAACGUAGGUCACAAGCGUUGUCCGGAAUUACUGGGUGUAAAGGGAGCGCAGGCGGGAGAACAAGUUGGAAGUGAAAUCCAUGGGCUCAACCCAUGAACUGCUUUCAAAACUGUUUUUCUUGAGUAGUGCAGAGGUAGGCGGAAUUCCCGGUGUAGCGGUGGAAUGCGUAGAUAUCGGGAGGAACACCAGUGGCGAAGGCGGCCUACUGGGCACCAACUGACGCUGAGGCUCGAAAGUGUGGGUAGCAAACAGGAUUAGAUACCCUGGUAGUCCACACCGUAAACG
This 767-nucleotide ribosomal RNA is filed under the name uncultured bacterium. Its description in RNAcentral is "bacterial SSU rRNA". It matches the Rfam family "Bacterial small subunit ribosomal RNA", at positions 28 to 808 of the family's 1533-position model. The record is from RNAcentral.